AGAAAUUAGUUGUAUUAGCUUAAAUAUUCAUAAUAAAACCAAGAAACCUUUGAAACAAGUUGUCAAAAGAUAUAGUAGCAACAAUUCAGAGUUAAAACUAUUAUUUUUUCAAAAUGUUGCUGUACAACUUCAGGGGAAAAAAUAAUGUGCUGCAAAAUCUUAGGUAUAUGCAUAAUUUUUUAAAAUACUCUUAGUUCUUGCCUGAUUAUAAUUAUUCAUGUACAUGGGAAAUUGUAAGGUGAUGAAUGUCAAUAUGUACAGUAAAAAUAACUUUUAUCUACAUGCAUAUGGCAAGGAAGGACUGUUGUUAAUCUUUUUGUAACAGCUUAAAUGAUCAUAAUUCUUGCUUUUGUUGAUAGCUUUUUCCUGCUUAACUGUUGAAAACAUUUUUGUACGGUAUGGUGGCCUUUCUCCAGGUUUACAGAAUAUUGUUUUCUUGUUUCAAGAGGGCAAAUUUACAUUAACUUUCAUAUAUAGUAAUUGACAUUUAUAGUGCAUGUGGGAUUGAUUACUUUACCACAUGAGAAAGCUGCAGCCUUAAAAUAUACAGAAUAUGAGACAAUAUCAUCAUGUUCCAACACAUUAUUUCCUCUGUACUAUUAAAAGGUCCACUGCUGGUCAGUUUCAAUAUUCUUGAUACCUGAAGUUUUUACUGUGAGAACAUACAUUAUGUCUUAAUGCACAGUCAUUUCUGAAUAUCCAUCAACAUUGUAUGUAUUGCUGUGUUGUUGUUUCACCUGUGUGUCACUGUGAAAUUUUGCCUGAAACUCUAGCAAAGACAUUGACAGUAAAGGUAUUAUGAAAAAUGAUUUUUAAAGGUUUGCAAUUUUGGUCUGAACAAGUAUAUAACAUUUAUGACAAAUUCUGAGCUGCUUUCCCAACCAAAAUUAUGUUUGAAAUUAGCCAGAUUAUUUUUCUGGGAAAAAAAGAACAAUUGAAUUGGGGUUUUGUGCAAUAUUUUGGCUCUUAGCAUUACACAAACUUUUGUUAUUUCCAGAAGCAUGAAAGUAAAGCUGUGUAGCAUACAUCAAAAAUUGUAAAAUCAACACAAGAAUACUUUUUUUUUUUUAAUUUUUAAUGUGAGAACCUCCACUAACAUUACCUUAAAAGUUUUCAUUUCCUUUAUUAUAAAAAAUUAUGGCAAUUCAGCUCACAACUUUUAGGUCAAAACUAUACUUUAAAUUCUGUUACAGUUUGAGGACAAAACCUAAAACAAACUCUAGCUGUGAUUCUCAGGAGGAACAUUCUUUAAGUAGCGAAGGGAGCACCAACCUCAAUGAAGCAUAAGAUUUCCCCCAUCUGUUCUCUGACUGUAUAUGCAUUUCCCUUGUGAAUGUGUGUGCGUGUGUCAAAUCUCCUUCCACCCCCAAAAUUCUGACAAUAAAAUUGAAGUAGCCUUCAUCUUAACAACAGCUUCUAGCAAUAACCAGUUUUAUUUGUUCUUUAAAAAUUGAAAGGAGUCAGAUAACAAAAUUAUAGAAAAUAGUUAACUGAAGUUUCACAUUGUCAUGUUCGAAACACAAAUAUUUGAAAUGUGAUGACAGAGAAGGUCACAGCCACACUAUUAAAUACGGCACCAUCGCAGGUGGAGUGAGAAAGACACUUGCUGCAGGAUGCCCUCUAAGUGGGUGCAGCAUAGAAGGAGGUGUCUUCAGGCCCUAUCAGAUACUGCUCUUGUCCUUCCUGCUGGCUGGGAGAAGUUGGACACCCACAGUGUUUGCAUACCUGGUGGACAGAAAGUGCUGGAAGAGUCCACAUAGGAAAAGGGUACUAAAAUAUCUCAGCAUUGCCAAUAUGCCAUUCAUCCUUACUUAAGACAGCUGUAAAACUGACUGAUGGGCUGCCUGAAUAAUAUUUCUGUACAAUUGUUUGUUCUUUAUUUGUCAUAGACUUUAUUAAAUCCUAAAGCUUUAAUCUUGGACAUGAUUUUUCUUCCAUUAACCUCAAAAAUAUCUCAGAAAGAUUAGUAAACAUUAUUAUCUUUUAUACAAAAAAACCCCCGCAUACCAAGUUUAAGGAUGUACAGGUUCUGUUCAGGGCGAGAGAGAGAGAGGUGAGGAAGUUGCUUUUUGCAGUUACCAGAAAGCUGUUACUCCCCACCUGCAGGUGACCAUUAGCAUGGGAAGCAAAGGAUCACUUAGUCUUUUUUCUGAGUUAACUUUAAAUCUAUCUUGGAACAAAGAAACACACUACACUACGUAAUUAAAUGAAUGCUAAGUCACUGAAAACAUAUGUUACAAAGGUGCUAGACAUGACUGCAAAAAAAGCUUCAUCUGAGUUAUAUUUCUGUGUUCAGAUUCUUCUUCCAAAGAGUUAAUGAAGCUACACAGCUCCUCUAACCCUGCUGAGAGUCAUUGAUCUGAUCUGGCUAGCCUGCAGGUUCACACAAAGGAGAUAGCAGGACAACAGUUGCUUUAUUAACAGCAGAGGACGGUUGGUUGCAGAAGAAAGGUGGAAGGUAGGAAUUUGAACUAUUUUCUACAAGAAAAACUUUGCCAGAUUAUUUUCAACUGAUUCUAGCAAACCCCAGGGACACUGACUUAGGUGAGACAACUCAUGUGCAAUUCAGUAUGUUGUUCCAAGAAUGUAGCGUCAAUCCCCUGCUGGACACAGCCAAGUGGGUGAACAGUGAAGUCAUUAAAAAGGGAAAGAGCUUUGGAUAAUAAUUAAAAAAAGGCUCAGGUGAGUUCAAAAGAGUUGUAUCCUUCGUUGGUGUAGAUUUUCACACCAUGGCACACAGAGACUUCCUAGGAUGAGCAGCUGAAGAAUAACGUCUUAGUGAAGAAUAAAACCUUAGUGGCAACAUCUAUCGUACUAUGUGAGCUGAGAAUAGCAGCUUCUGAAACCAUUAAAAAAUAGCUGCAUGCCAGGACACUUUGGUAGAAGAAAUGCUAUGAUAAGACUCUGCCCCCGCCAUGGCUUCCCCUCAUCCUGCCCAUGGUCCAGGGCUCUAUGUCUGCCCCAGGGAACAUCAGCCCCUGCCCGAGCAAUGUUGUUUCAUUAUGCAAGAUAUUCAAGAAAUGUACCCAUCCUGCCUUCAGCUAAUAAACAUACCUAUUUGAGUGUUUAACAAGCACACCAGGCAAAAAAAUACUAGCUUAUUAAUUUUGCAACAAUUGAUAGAGAUAUUUAUGAAGUAGACAAAUUAUUGGUUUUUUUUAUCUUUAAUAUGCAUGUCCUGUCUUAAAGUUAGAUAAAAUUACUGCAUGUCAUAUAGCUCAACCUGCUACUCAAAGCAGGGUUAGAUGAAAAUUGGAUCCAUCUGUGCUGGACCUUGUCUAGCUGAGUUUUGAAAGUCUCUAAGGUUGGAGAUUUCACAAUCUUUUUGAUGAUCUUAUUUCAGUGUUUAACCCUCUCAUUGUAAGAUUUCUUUUUUUAAAGUAGUGCAGUUUCAAAAUGUGAUGAUUUCAAAAGGUAAUGAAAAAGAAAACUGGAAAAAAAAGGGGGGAAAAAUUAUUAAUUAAAACAAGUAUUUCAAUUAUACAUUUUCUCACUUCAUCUUUGAAUGAAAGGAAAACCAAACAAACAUGAGAAUAAUAAACAAACCAAAUGCCCAAAUUAAAUGUUCUGGAUCAUUCUAGCAGGCAUUUUAUUUGGUUGCAAAAAAAAGUUUAUGUUUUUUUGCUAUAAGAAAAAAAAUAUGUAGCAAAAAUUAAAAAUCAGUUAUUCAUGCAAUCAUCUAGACUAUUUUGAUUCUACUUGUAUAUUACUCAAAGAAAAACUGUGUUGCCUUCUAUGUCCAAGAGUGUAUAUGUUCUGGGUUGAUUAAGAAUAUAUUCUUUAAGAAUAUAUACUUUAACUUUGUAGUUCAGACUUAAAGAAUUGCUUAGUAGUCAGCAGAAGCAGGAUCAUUUUGUCAUAUUCACUUUACAGUUGUAAGAAACAGUAUUAGUAAAUCAGAGAAUUGGAAGACUUGCAAAUAAGUGACAAGAAAACUGCAGACAAUGUUCAAUAAGGGAAGGACUGCACGUGUUGAAAGACUAACAAUGCAAAAUGAUCUUGACAAACUGGAAAAAAUAGUCUUGAAAGACUAUGAUAUUUAACAAAGUAAAAUGGAAGAAUCACUUCAACAAUCUACUUCAGUAGUACAGAAUGGAGAAUUGAAAAGCUGUCAGAAGUGAAAUAUUUUGGGAUUAUAAUGGCCAGUGCAAAGAAUUUUAACAGUGGUAUUGUGCUCCAGAGCUACAGGUGAACAGCCUGUAGCAUAUGAAGAGGGUCAUAGUCUACAUAACAUAAAAUCUUCCCUCCUCUUCAAAACUCAGUUGAAGUGGUGUGCAAGUUUGAAGUCUGCUCUUCAUGAAAGAUAUGGAGUAGUUGCUGAGUGGAAAAAAGAGAAUUCUGAGACAAGACAUGGAUCUCUUCAGAAAGGCUACUGAGAGAGGAAGUGAGCAAGCUGUUUUCCCCCUCAGAACUUAGACUUAGAACACACUUUAAUUACAAUACCUUUUAGGUUAGGCCUAGCAAAAAAAUAUUACCUAAAAUCUUACCUUCCUAGAAAGUGAUGCUAUUAUGGCAAGUUUUACCAGAUGGCUUAUUAGAAUCUCUAAUAUCUCUUCAUCAUUAUAAACGGCAUUUCAUUAUUUUAAUUUCUGAAAUAAAAUCUGUUUUCAGAGUCUGCUAAUUUGUGUCAAGAUACCAUUUCACUCUUAAGUG
Neopelma chrysocephalum (saffron-crested tyrant-manakin) is the source of this 4653-nucleotide long non-coding RNA. RefSeq lists it as uncharacterized. The transcript is spliced from 3 exons. NCBI's taxonomy places the organism in Eukaryota, Metazoa, Chordata, Aves, Passeriformes, Pipridae. The record is from RefSeq and is a predicted model, not a curated record.